UGAGAGGAAGAUAAUGCACCUGGGUAGAGACCUGAGAGGACCACAAUACAGGAUGAAGCUGGAGAUACUGGAGUGAUCAGAUCACUCAGACCUUUGAGGCGUGUUAAAGAGUCUCCUUCAGAUGCUCUGAAAGCCACUCGGAGGUUUUAAGUGUGAGAUGUGAAGUGUGUUCAACUCUGUCUUUCAGUUUCUGUGAAGCUGGCUCAGCACAUCCAGAGGAGGAGAUAAAUGGCCACCGCAGGGAUGCUGGCAAGGGAUGCUGGGAGCCUCGGAGCAGGGAGAUACAGUUAUGUCACUGUGGAGAGAGCAUGACCCAGAGCCAGGCCCUGUCUGAGAUGACAGAAGUCAGCACAGGAGGCCGCUCGCUCACAUCUCUGGAGACCAGGACGCGGAGAGAGCUAGGGCAGAAGCCAGCACAGGAGGCUGCUCGCUCACAUCUCAGGAGACCAGGACGUGGAGAGAGCUAGGCCUGCUUUCCAGAGACCCAUUUCCUCCAGCUAGAACCCAACUCCUACGGGCUUCACGACUUCCCAAAGAAGGGCUGCCAGCUGGGGACCAAACCAACAACUGCGAGAACCUUUUGUGACUUUGUACAUGGAAGCCACAGCUUCACCGCAGCUUGCCAAGGUGACAACUCUGGAAAGGACAGACCUAUUUUACUUUUAAGUACUAGUAUGUUUGUCCAGGUAACUCCUAUAUGUGCAUCCAGUUCCAGUGGUGCGUCUUCAGCCAGGCCAACUUCAGGAAGAGGGAGGAUGACCCCACAGGGGUGGACCCUUAGGAGAUCAGCUUAGAUGGGCAUCUUGUUUGUGAUCUUCAGUGGGUCAGAAUGAGAGCUAGUAAUGGAUGCCUUUCCUCCUCCUCCUCCUCUUCUUCCUCCUCCUCCUCCUCUUCAGAGGACUGGGAGGAUCACAUCCAAAUACCCUCAGAUUAAUCCAGGCCUGCAUCCAGGCCUGUUGGACAGUUAGGAAACCUCUCACAUCUCAAGCCCCGGUGUACAGGAUUCCACAGACUUCCUCUAUUUAAAAUGAAAAUGUUUUGAAUGAAGAAUUACUUUGGUUAUUAAGACAGGCUAGAAAAGAUUGCUGCUGAUCUUCAUUCCAUUGCAAGACACACUUCUACCUGAGGGCUCUUCCUGAGUAGGAAGGACAAGGAGAGCCAAGCUUCCUAACUUGUCUGAUUGUCGAAUGGUCACCCAAACAUUUUCUCAUGCCAGCAAUCGGUCACAACACAGUACAGAGAGCUGCUGGUCAGCUCCCAUGUAAACCAUUAACCACAUUAGAGAAAAUAGCUGUGAAGAGGGAGCCCUCGGUGGUUUUAACGUCAAAAGAUGUCACGAGAAGAGCCACACAUUAUUAUUGCUGACAAUUUGUACAAUUUGUCCCUGGUGAAAUGUGUGUGUCCCUACACUGCACCAUUUUACAUAACAAUAUGAAAUAUUAAAAGCGAAAAACGUUUUAUAAUAAACAGCAGUUUUGCUGAUUGCGGCUGAUUAUGUUAAGCAGCUUGUACCAUGGGUGUCAGAGGAGACUCAAUAGCUCCUGUAACUAAUCUUCAUGGCUGACCUCUCCCCUCCGCUGAUGAAGCCUAUUCAAAAACCUGCUGCCCUUUGCUCAUUUGCAGAGCGGAUAUUUCUGAACUGUUUUGAUCAUGCAUAUAUUUGCUGAAGUUGUUGCGUACAGGCUUUGCUGUGUGUGUGUGUUCAUGCUUAUGCUUUUAAAGACAUACCACACAUGAAGAAAGAUUCCUGCCAUGACUAUUUCAUGAAUUAUUAAAAGAAAACUCAACUGCACAAAAAAGUAAGGAUGACGAGCAUUCACAACCCUCUCACCAGAUGCCAAUGAGCCUUUAAUUACAGCUGAAGAUGGCUCUUGUGUUUCUCUGUUGCUCCACAGAAACUGUGUGAAGAAAUAUGGCGCUGUUCCCCCUUGCUCCAACUUUAAAAUAAAGGGCAUGUCUUUCCAGGGAA
Mastomys coucha (southern multimammate mouse) is the source of this 1969-nucleotide long non-coding RNA. RefSeq lists it as uncharacterized. The transcript has 2 exons. NCBI's taxonomy places the organism in Eukaryota, Metazoa, Chordata, Mammalia, Rodentia, Muridae. The record is from RefSeq and is a predicted model, not a curated record.